Molecule: ribosomal RNA, 484 nt
Filed under: uncultured bacterium
Lineage: Bacteria
Description: partial 16S ribosomal RNA
Rfam family: Bacterial small subunit ribosomal RNA
Source: RNAcentral
AUUGAACGCUGGCGGCAGGCCUAACACAUGCCAGUCGAGCGGAUGAAGGGAGCUUGCUCCUGGAUUCAGCGGCGGACGGGUGAGUAAUGCCUAGGAAUCUGCCUGGUAGUGGGGGAUAACGUCCGGAAACGGGCGCUAAUACCGCAUACGUCCUGAGGGAGAAAGUGGGGGAUCUUCGGACCUCACGCUAUCAGAUGAGCCUAGGUCGGAUUAGCUAGUUGGUGGGGUAAAGGCCUACCAAGGCAACGAUCCGUAACUGGUCUGAGAGGAUGAUCAGUCACACUGGAACUGAGACACGGUCCAGACUCCUACGGGAGGCAGCAGUGGGGAAUAUUGGACAAUGGGCGAAAGCCUGAUCCAGCCAUGCCGCGUGUGUGAAGAAGGUCUUCGGAUUGUAAAGCACUUUAAGUUGGGAGGAAGGGCAGUAAGUUAAUACCUUGCUGUUUUGACGUUACCAACAGAAUAAGCACCGGCUAACUUCGUG